Molecule: ribosomal RNA, 483 nt
Filed under: uncultured bacterium
Lineage: Bacteria
Description: bacterial SSU rRNA
Rfam family: Bacterial small subunit ribosomal RNA
Source: RNAcentral
AACGAACGCUGGCGGCGCGCCUAAUACAUGCAAGUCGAGCGAGAAGACGUAGCAAUACGUUUGUAAAGCGGCGAACGGGUGAGGAAUACAUGGGUAACCUACCCUAGAGUGGGGAAUAACUAGCCGAAAGGUUAGCUAAUACCGCGUACGCUCCUUGGACUUCGGUUCAGGGAGGAAAGCGAUACCGUGGGUAUCGCGCUCUUGGAUGGGCUCAUGUCCUAUCAGCUUGUUGGGAGGUAACGGCUCACCAAGGCUUCGACGGGUAGCUGGUCUGAGAGGACGAUCAGCCACACUGGCACUGCGACACGGGCCAGACUCCUACGGGAGGCAGCAGUAAGGAAUAUUGCGCAAUGGGCGAAAGCCUGACGCAGCGACGCCGCGUGGGGGAUGAAGGUCUUCGGAUUGUAAACCCCUUUCGGGAGGGAAGAUGGAACGAGCAAUCGUUCGGACGGUACCUCCAGAAGCAGCCACGGCUAACUUCGU